This is a long non-coding RNA of Myotis daubentonii (Daubenton's bat), 129 nucleotides long. RefSeq lists it as uncharacterized. NCBI's taxonomy places the organism in Eukaryota, Metazoa, Chordata, Mammalia, Chiroptera, Vespertilionidae. The record is from RefSeq and is a predicted model, not a curated record.
CAGCAUAGUAUUCCAUUAUGUACCAUAGUUUUCUAAUCCAUUCAUCUGCUGAUGGGAACUUAGGCUGUUUACAAAUCUUAGCUAUGGUAAAUUGUACUGCUAUUAACAUAAGGUGCAUAUAUUCUUUCU